UUGUGAAAGAAUACCACCCUGAACUUGACUGAUCAUGUCUGAUCUUGGAAGCUAAGCAGGGUCGGGCCUGGUUAAUACUAGGAUUGGAGCUUAACUCUUAAAAACUAAGUUUGUGGA
Molecule: ribosomal RNA, 117 nt
Filed under: Ochotona princeps (American pika)
Lineage: Eukaryota; Metazoa; Chordata; Mammalia; Lagomorpha; Ochotonidae
Source: RNAcentral